This is a non-coding RNA of Arachis ipaensis, 541 nucleotides long. The record is from RefSeq and is a predicted model, not a curated record. NCBI's taxonomy places the organism in Eukaryota, Viridiplantae, Streptophyta, Magnoliopsida, Fabales, Fabaceae.
UGGCGCACUCAGAGUUGCUUCUAGUUCUUUAGAACCAAGUUAGAACAUGCAGCAAGUAACGUCACAUGCAUUUGUAUUAUUCCGAGUGUGAUAUUGCUGCUCAUUUCGUGGAAGAAAAGAAAGAUAGUGAUCCAUAUCAUGGCUGGUUCUGCGGACCUUUGAAACCACAUACUGGUUUAAAAUAAUUUGCAUAAUGUGGCCAAUCAUGUGAUUUUAACUAUCCUAAGAUUUUUUUCAUACUAACUUUGAGUAUCCUUUUUUUAGAGGCAAUUUUAUUCGAGUAUUUGGGAUCCCAUACAUAGGGGCAUGGUUCUUCUAGCACCCGCUUUUUCCAUAGUCUAAAACUCGACACCACAGGUUAAGCAAAAUAAGUAUUUGCAACUUCAACCGAGCAUAUAUUAAUUUCUGUGUACUUUUUUUUUCCCCUAACUUUUUUAUGCAGAGUAACUUGUCUGCUUCAUUCCAUACCUUCCACAAACUGAACUAUCUUGUCCCUUGUUACAACUUCAUAGUGAAGGUCCUUGAUAGUAUAUUUUUGUCA